AUUCUUCUCUGCGGUGAUGUUAGUCGCCCGAAACCAAUGACUGUCUUAUGGUCUUCACUGGCUUACAUUUUGAUAAAGCCAUAUAAGCAAACUUGGCAGCAUUUUCUCCUUUCGUUCUUGGACUUUGCAGCAUCCCCAUGAAAGACUUCUCCUUCAAUUUCUACACUUGAGAAGAAUGUGAGACUCGUCAAUCCUGAUUGUUUUAUAUUCAGACAAGCAAAGUUCUUCAUGUUGCGCCAGUUGUUGCAGGAAACUCUUGUAAUUGCAGGUAUUACUCUGCAACAAAAAGAAUAAAAAGGAUGAAAAAGUAAGGUCAGUUAUUAGAAGUAUAGAAGACAUAACGUGAAUGACAUUAUCGACUCCAGGGCCCACGCCAGCACCACAUUGCACUCCCUCGUGGAACACAGAAAGAAGCUUCUCAUCCUACAGGAAGUUGUUAUUGAUAUUCAAAAAGUUAGAAAGAAAAUGAUAAUACCUUAAGAUAACUAAAUACCACUGAAAAUGAUAAUCCUAGCUUAGAAAAUAAUAAUACCUAAAGAUAACUAAAUACCACUGAAAAUGAUAAUCCUAGAUGUAUAAUGUGCACACAGAAGGAAACUCAAGUUAUUUCUCAUAUUAAGAGUGCAAUAAAAUAUGAUUCUGAACAUAAAGCAGAGCGGCAAAA
RNAcentral lists this long non-coding RNA (664 nucleotides) under Nicotiana benthamiana. RNAcentral describes it as "long non-coding RNA (NBEN_LNC039788)". Lineage: Eukaryota; Viridiplantae; Streptophyta; Magnoliopsida; Solanales; Solanaceae. The record is from RNAcentral.